Molecule: ribosomal RNA, 498 nt
Filed under: uncultured bacterium
Lineage: Bacteria
Description: partial 16S ribosomal RNA
Rfam family: Bacterial small subunit ribosomal RNA
Source: RNAcentral
AUUGAACGCUGGCGGCAUGCCUUACACAUGCAAGUCGAACGGUAACAGGUCUUCGGAUGCUGACGAGUGGCGAACGGGUGAGUAAUACAUCGGAACGUGCCUAGUAGUGGGGGAUAACUACUCGAAAGAGUGGCUAAUACCGCAUGAGAUCUACGGGUGAAAGCAGGGGAUCGCAAGACCUUGUGCUACUAAAGCGGCCGAUGGCAGAGUAGGUAGUUGGUGGGAUAAAAGCUUACCAAGCCGACGCUCUGUAGCUGGUCUGAGAGGACGAUCAGCCACACUGGGACUGAGACACGGCCCAGACUCCUACGGGAGGCAGCAGUGGGGAAUUUUGGACAAUGGGCGCAAGCCUGAUCCAGCAAUGCCGCGUGCAGGAUGAAGGCCUUCGGGUUGUAAACUGCUUUUGUACGGAACGAAAAGCCCCGGGUUAAUACCCUGGGGUCAUGACGGUACCGUAAGAAUAAGCACCGGCUAACUACGUGCCAGCCGCCGCAGUAA